Papaver somniferum (opium poppy) is the source of this 680-nucleotide long non-coding RNA. RefSeq lists it as uncharacterized. Lineage: Eukaryota; Viridiplantae; Streptophyta; Magnoliopsida; Ranunculales; Papaveraceae. The transcript is spliced from 5 exons. The record is from RefSeq and is a predicted model, not a curated record.
CUUAUGAAGAUCCAUAUGUGUUCACUGCAUCUGCGAACCAAGCUCCACUAAUUUCAAAAUCUGUAGAAAACAACCAGUAUUGGGAUGGAGAUCGGGAAAUAAGCUAAAACCAAGGAUUUCAGAACUGUCAUCGAGUGCUGGAAAAAGAAGUGGCGAUAUUCCUUACAAGGAUUCAAAUGUCACACGCAUAUUACAACACUCACUUGUUGGGAAUGCUCGUAGGGCCAUCAUAUGUACGCCCAGUUCAGCAAUGAGUCACUUUGAACAAUCUCCCAACACUUUCUCUUUUUCCACCCGUGCAAAGGAAGUCACUGACAAUGCCGAAGUGAAUAUGGAGAGAUCUUCCUGUAGACUUAGCAGAAGGGGCGCUCUAUGUAUUUCGCUUGCAAGCAUUAGACCAGUGUACUUUGCUGAUCAGUUGGGCUACUCAGUUCAACCUUUUGCCAUUUUUUUCUUUUUUUUUUGUGUGCCUUUAGGUCUAGUUACCACAGAUUGCAUAAGAAAAUCUUUCAGAAUGCUAAUGAUAAUAGUCAUAAUUAUAACUUAGAACGGUGGAUUCACUAUUCAGUACUCGUGUAGAGUUUGUUGGGAGUUUUUGACUGAAGUGUCAUCUUGGUUCAAAUGUAAAUUGAGUUACUGUUGUAAACAAAUUUCAAAUUUGAAUUGAAUGAUAUCAAAUG